UGCUAUGAAAUGCUUAGAUCCCAGCACUUCCAGAGAGGCUGAGGCAGGAGAACUGUUCCGAGUUCGAGGCCAGCCAGGGCUACAAACCUCCCAAGUCUUGGGACUACAGACCGUAGACUGUGCCAACACACAAGGCUGCAAAAGUGGUAGUAACUGUAAGAAGCUAAGAACAUUUUCAGAGUCAAGACUCUUGUGCAGGCUGAAACAGAGGUCGACAAUGGCCUCUGACUGCACAUUUCUAGAGCUCCACCCAAGCUAAAGCCAGUCCUUCUCAGGAGAGAAAACAACCUGCUGCCAGGUGGGCACAGAGCAAGUUGAACCUGCGGGACACAGUGCCAUGCUGCGCAGGAUAUUUUCUUCAGAAGACAAAACAGGCAACGGGGCGCCCAGGCUUGCAAGCCGCCUUCGGAAACCAGCAGCCCAGCAGAACCACAGAAGACGUGUGAAGAAAGAAGAUGGCUCCAGGUGCCCUGAGCAAGGGCUCAAGGAGGUGGGCUCGUGCGUAGGAAGAGUCCCCAGGAAAGCAUAUUUCCAGGGCAGGGCCUGCUUUAAAAACCUGAUCUUUUUGCUUAUGGGGGAAGGAAAGGAAAGUGAGCCUGUAAAUCACCUUUCCUCAAACCUCAACCCCAAGGCAGGAUUCUCCCAUCUGAGGUCUUACAAGCAGCUUGGUCCCAGAGGGCUCCCAGCAGUCAGAAAGGGCCGGAGGGAGGGAGGGGCCGAAGCAGGAAGCAGAGUCCACACGCUCCCACCUCACAGGUUGCUUCCGAGGGCCACAGCCUGGACCCUGUCCCCACCCUGGACCCUGUCCCCACCCUCCUGGCGGGCUCUGCUCCUAGCCUGAGGCAGGAUCUCCUCGGACCAGAGCGCACCUGGCAGACCGACCCAGGCCGACCAGCCUCUCCUCUGCAGAGUGGCUUUGGGUUAGGCGGGAGGCGUGCCUUAGUAAAACAUCAUGACAGCUUAUUCCUAUGAGAGAUGCAGAGAUUAGAUCUUUUCACUGCAAAAUCAGAGUCCAGCCACCAGUCUCCCUGCCACAGGGCUACCCUAUCAUUGUGACUUCUCACUCUUGACUUCAGGUACGGUCAAAACCCUCGUAAAUGAAAGCAAAAAGGUCUCCCUGCUGUUUCCAGGGCUGAGGACUGGCCCGGAGGCCUUCCCACCGAGCUGCAGCCCCAGCCUUCUUUUUUUUUUUUUUUUUCUUUCUAAUUUUUGGGACAGGGUCUUGCUAAAUCACUAAAUUGCCCAGGCCAGACUCUUAACUUGUCAUCCUCCUGCUUCAGCCUCCCUGAGUACUGUAUCCGGCAUGCCCACUAUCUAGCUGUAGCUCAGGACAUAGUAACAGUGUUUGUGUGGCACGACUAGGAAAGCCAAUCCAGCAUCAGAGACUGACGUCCCGCCCUAGAUGGGCUCCUCUAGGACAGGCAAACUCCCAGGGGAAAGUGCAGACCCACCCCACCAGCUGUCGUUCCUUCCUGGGCGUGGAGAGAGGCCGCAUGGUGUCCUCUUAAGAGCUAAAAAGAGGCACACUGGGUCUCAACACAGGCGUGAGGGGAGGCACAAAACCUACCCAGAACGUCACACGCAACAUCGGCUAGAACUGACGCGCAGCAGGGCAGACAGCACAGGGUGAGUGCAUGGCGCACAGACCUCCGGGCGAACCCUUCCCAGCUGUGCUCACCGCCCCAAAUGGUUAGAAGCUACGCUAGGCCCGCCUGGGAGCAGACACAACUGCCGCUGGAGCUGGAGGUGGCUGGGUCUCUCGGCCCUCACCCGACGCGGCCACGGUGCUCAGGUGACCCCGCGAGAGCAGAGGGCGCGGAGCUCCGCGUGGACGCGGGAAGGAGCUGGCUUAGCGUAAAUUGUAAGGGACAACUCCACAGUGAGAGAGAGGCGCCAGGAACUUCAACAACUAACGUUUUGUUCUGUAAGAGUUGUCCUUACGUGGGACUUGAUGUGGGAACAGCUGAUCCCUGAAUAAAGCCACCCCAUGAAAUACAUUCUUAUUUCUGAAAUCCUGUCCCCAGAUGUAACAAACCAGCGAACACCCCUCUCAUUUUUCUCGUGAAGAAACAGAUUGAACAAAACAUUUCUCACACUUUGUUCUUCACCCCCACAAUGCGGCUGUGACUUCCCAGCACGUGGCACGUAUUACGUGUCCAAAGACCUUUAAAAAUAUCAAAGUUAUCUCCACCGUGAGACAACAGGACCCACACGCGCCAGGAAGCCUGAUCUGUGAGGCUGAAACUCAGGCAGCCGGCCCCGCUGCGGAGGCGCAGUGGUCAGAAGGGACCCCAGGCUGCCGCUCCGUCUGCUCUUGGCGCUGGGUCUGGGAAGAGUUACUAGAUUCUGAGCAGAGGAGCGGGAGCAACAGGAAGGGAUCCAGGAGGAAGCGGGGACCAGGAGGCCAAGCUGUUAGCGAGGCUGGGUUGGGAGGAAGGUGGAGUCCACUGGCCACGGCCCUCGGGAGGCGGAGAAGGCUACGCAGGGCCUCUCACAGUGGACUGCAGAGAGGGCUGGGGGUCCCGACACAGUGGCAGCAAGAGUGGGGCGAGGGCUGAGGAGCGGGCCUGACGGCCAGUCCGGGGGUCACCGAGGACCCGGUGCCAACAGGAGCGGAAGGCAGGAGGCCGGUGAGGGCGCACCAGAGGACAAAGGCGAGAGAAGUCGCCUCAGAAACACCCAGCUGCAAGCUACGCGGCUGGGACCUCAAAGCCGCGCCACGUUUAGGGCGGAAAGCCAGCUCUGCCUUGGAGACUGAAAGAUGAGCAGAAGAAAGCCAGCUGAAGUGAGUGAGGGAGGAGAGGCCUGGCAACCUAACAAGCGCGAGUGUGACGUGGUUCAUGUGAUAUGGCUCACGUGACAUGGCUCACAUGACGUGGUUCACGUGAUGCGGUUCACGUGACACGGGCUCACACGACGGCAAGUCAACAUGAGGAAACAGCAGGGCCCCUGCUUCAAGAGUCCGAUGCUGUCUCCCAGGGCUGUGGGGUGGGACGUGACAGUAGCCCCACUGAGGCCACAGCAUGCCCGGGACCAAUGUGAGGAGUGCCUGAGGGUCGGUUUCCCCAUCCCCAGUUCCCGCGUCACCCUAACUCCUGCGUGGCCCCAGGGGCGG
Molecule: long non-coding RNA, 3115 nt
Organism: Chinchilla lanigera (long-tailed chinchilla)
Lineage: Eukaryota; Metazoa; Chordata; Mammalia; Rodentia; Chinchillidae
Exons: 3
Source: RefSeq, a predicted model, not a curated record